Molecule: long non-coding RNA, 416 nt
Organism: Papilio polytes (common Mormon)
Lineage: Eukaryota; Metazoa; Arthropoda; Insecta; Lepidoptera; Papilionidae
Exons: 3
Source: RefSeq, a predicted model, not a curated record
CAACUUCAGAGCGUCAGUUAUUUACUGUCCACUAAUUCUAUAUCCACUAUUAGUUCGAGUUGACUGUUGAUGCAGAUAAUUAAGAUGAGAUCGCUUUUAUGGAUGGUUUUAAUCGUACCGGUUUUGUCAAAUAAAUCGACAAAGAAGUCAACAUUUGGGUGUUUUAGUAAAUGUAAUAACAAUACGCAUGAAAUUGAUGUUAAAUGUGAGGACAGUUUCAAUUUGUGGGAAACCGACCAGUUAUGUACAUCCGCAUAUUAUAAUGAGACACAGUUUUUAAUGUCUAUAGUUUUUAGAAGAUCCGAUUUUGGUAACAUGGACAGCAUUGCGUGGAUAAACAGUGACAUUGAACGCAUUGUUUCACUCGAUUUAAGUAAUAACCGGUUUAAUAAUCAACCGACGUUGGAUUCUAUACC